AUUGAACGCUGGCGGCAUGCCUUACACAUGCAAGUCGAACGGCAGCACGGGUGCUUGCACCUGUUGGCGAGUGGCGAACGGGUGAGUAAUACAUCGGAACAUGUCCUGUAGUGGGGGAUAGCCCGGCGAAAGCCGGAUUAAUACCGCAUACGAUCUACGGAUGAAAGCGGGGGACCUUCGGGCCUCGCGCUAUAGGGUUGGCCGAUGGCUGAUUAGCUAGUUGGUGGGGUGAAGGCCUACCAAGGCGACGAUCAGUAGCUGGUCUGAGAGGACGACCAGCCACACUGGGACUGAGACACGGCCCAGACUCCUACGGGAGGCAGCAGUGGGGAAUUUUGGACAAUGGGCGAAAGCCUGAUCCAGCAAUGCCGCGUGUGUGAAGAAGGCCUUCGGGUUGUAAAGCACUUUUGUCCGGAAAGAAAUCCUUGGCCCUAAUACGGUCGGGGGAUGACGGUACCGGAAGAAUAAGCACCGGCUAACUACGUG
This 486-nucleotide ribosomal RNA is filed under the name uncultured bacterium. RNAcentral describes it as "partial 16S ribosomal RNA". It matches the Rfam family "Bacterial small subunit ribosomal RNA", at positions 30 to 507 of the family's 1533-position model. The record is from RNAcentral.